AUGGGGAACUGCUGGGGCGCCAAGAUCAGCUCCGACAGCUCCUCCUCCUCCCCUUCAGGGACAAAUUCCAAGUAUGCUAGUAGGAAUGGGGCGGCCUUGAGCAGCUCCAGCAGCUAUGCCUCCGCGGCGUCAGUGCCACGGAGCGAGGGUGAGAUUCUGGAGUCAGCGAAUGUCAAGGCCUUCUCUUUCAAUGAGCUGAGGACCGCCACGAGAAACUUCCGGCCAGACAGUGUGCUAGGCGAGGGAGGGUUCGGGUCAGUCUUCAAGGGGUGGAUCGAUGAGAAGACCCUCACCCCAACCAAGCCUGGCACCGGGAUGGUCAUUGCUGUGAAGAAGCUUAAUCAGGAAAGCUAUCAGGGCCAUAGGGAAUGGCUGGCUGAAGUGAAUUACCUUGGACAACUAUCGCACCCGAAUCUUGUAAAGCUCGUUGGGUACUGUGUUGAAGACGAACAGCGGCUUCUCGUCUACGAGUUCAUGCCUCGUGGGAGUUUGGAGAAUCAUCUCUUUAGGAGGAGUACACAUUUCCAGCCGCUCUCCUGGAACCUUCGGAUGAAAAUUGCCCAUGGAGCAGCUAAGGGGCUCGCGUUUCUCCACAGUGACAAGGCCAAAGUCAUCUACCGUGAUUUCAAAACCUCAAAUAUCCUCCUAGAUGCGAACUACGACGCAAAGCUCUCAGAUUUUGGCCUGGCGAAGGACGGACCGACCGGUGACAAGAGCCAUGUGUCCACAAGGGUGAUGGGGACAUAUGGGUAUGCUGCACCAGAAUACCUUGCAACAGGCCACCUGACCACGAAGAGCGACGUGUACAGCUUCGGCGUGGUCCUCCUGGAGAUGCUGUCGGGGCGGCGCGCGGUGGACAAGAACCGGCCGACCGGCGAGCACAACCUGGUGGAGUGGGCGCGGCCGUACCUGACGAGCAAGCGGCGCAUCUUCCGCGUGCUGGACCCCCGUCUGGGCGGGCAGUACUCCCUCGCCAAGGCCCAGAAGGCGGCGUCGCUGGCGCUGCAGUGCCUCUCGGUGGACUCGAGGAACAGGCCGAGCAUGGAGCAGGUCGUCGUGGCGUUGGAGCAGCUCCACGACGCCAAGGAGGGAGGUAACAGCCCUCGCCCGCAGCUGCAGAGGAAGCCGAGCAGCAACCGGAGCCUGACCGGCUCGAGACCAUCGUCGACCAAGGGGAACAACAACAGGCCCGCUUCGUCGAGACCGGUUUGA
This 1212-nucleotide ribosomal RNA is filed under the name Triticum aestivum (bread wheat). RNAcentral describes it as "partial small subunit ribosomal RNA". The record is from RNAcentral. Lineage: Eukaryota; Viridiplantae; Streptophyta; Magnoliopsida; Poales; Poaceae.